This 465-nucleotide ribosomal RNA is filed under the name uncultured bacterium. Its description in RNAcentral is "partial 16S ribosomal RNA". It matches the Rfam family "Bacterial small subunit ribosomal RNA", at positions 338 to 795 of the family's 1533-position model. The record is from RNAcentral.
CCUACGGGUGGCUGCAGUGGGGAAUAUUGCACAAUGGGCGCAAGCCUGAUGCAGCCAUGCCGCGUGUAUGAAGAAGGCCUUCUGGUUGUAAAGUACUUUCAGUCGGGAGGAAGGUGAUAAGGUUAAUAACCUUAUCAAUUGACGUUACCGACAGAAGAAGCACCGGCUAACUCCGUGCCAGCAGCCGCGGUGAUACGGAGGGGGCAAGCGUUAAUCGGAAUUACUGGGCGUAAAGCGCACGCAGGCGGGUGAUUGAGGCAGAUGUGAAAUCGCCGGGCAUAACCCGGGAAUUGCAUCUGAUACUGGGCAGCUAGAGUGGGGUAGAGGUGGGCAGAAUGCGAGGUGUAGCGGUGAAAUGCGUAGAGAUGUCGAAGAAUACCGAUUGCGAAGGCGGCCCCCUGGACAAAGACUGACGCUCAGGUGCGAAAGCGUGGGGAGCGAACAGGAUUAGAUACCCUGGUAGUC